RNAcentral lists this transfer RNA (72 nucleotides) under Loxodonta africana (African savanna elephant). It matches the Rfam family "tRNA". From Rfam's summary of the family: Transfer RNA (tRNA) molecules are approximately 80 nucleotides in length. Lineage: Eukaryota; Metazoa; Chordata; Mammalia; Proboscidea; Elephantidae. The record is from Rfam by way of RNAcentral.
GCCCUGGUGGUGUAGUGGUUAAGCACUCAGCUGCUAACUGAAAGGCUUGUGGUUUGAUUCCACCCAGCGGCU